This 82-nucleotide transfer RNA is filed under the name bacterium. RNAcentral's name for it is "tRNA-Leu". It matches the Rfam family "tRNA". Rfam says of the family: Transfer RNA (tRNA) molecules are approximately 80 nucleotides in length. Their secondary structure includes four short double-helical elements and three loops (D, anti-codon, and T loops). RNAcentral also lists the same sequence under 3 other names. The record is from RNAcentral.
GCUCGGGUGGCGAAAUUGGCAGACGCGCCAGACUUAGGAUCUGGUUCCGCAAGGAAUGUGGGUUCGAGUCCCACCCCGAGCA